Molecule: long non-coding RNA, 7258 nt
Filed under: Capsicum annuum
Lineage: Eukaryota; Viridiplantae; Streptophyta; Magnoliopsida; Solanales; Solanaceae
Description: long non-coding RNA (CANN_LNC008500)
Source: RNAcentral
AACAACCAAAAAAAUAAUCCAAUUCAAGAAGGCUUCUUCCAUAACAAAGAUUCCAUUUCAUAGCUUUCUCUUCUUAGUUGAAUCUUUCGAUCUUAAUUAAAUGAUCCGAUCUUAGUUAAACGAUCUUGGGAAGAAUCUUUCGAUCUUAAUUAUACAAUCCGAUCUUAGUUAAACGAUCUUGGGCUAGCAGAAGGUUUCCCCAGCUACACCUUUCUUAUGCUAUUCUCUACAGAAACAGCAUGGGCUAGCAGAAGGUUUCCCCAGCUACACCUUUCUUAUGCUAUUCUCUACAGAAACAGCAUGGUACGUAAUAGUGAUUAUAUAAUACUAAAAGAGAAAUCAUAGAAUAAUAUGAGAAAAAAUCAUAGAAUAAUAUGAGAAGAAGGUAACUGGAAAGAGAUGAAAUACUAAUUAAGCCAAAGACUUCGACAUAAUUGCAUUACCUAUGUUGCUCCUACAAUCACUAUUUAUCAAUCCGAAUUCCAAAUAUAACCACUUAAUUUAGUGUUGCAUGCUGUGUCAAUAAUGAUCCAGGCCAAUUCAUAAUAACUAGUGAGAUAGUGUAAUUAAAUAUUUUAGAUGAAUUAUACCCCUAUCAUUUAAAAUUAUAAUAUAAAAUCAUAACUUAUUGCAUAUUGUUCUUCGCAUUUUCAAGAAAUCUUUUCAUAAGACUUCUUCACUGAAAAUUUUAGAAACUCCUUGAGGGGAGAAGGUAGAAUUUUCUAUCAAUUGAGAAGGGAUCAAGGGAAAAUAACUACACCAAAAUUCUAUAAAAGAACUCCUUUUAUCGAACAAUAUCAUGCAAUUUUUUUUUAAAAUAUCUACUAUUGUAUAUCUAUUCUCAAUUGUUUUAUCUCAUUGAUUACAUCCAUCUUAUAUUGGGAUUAAAUUAUUGGUCGAAUUGGUUGACAAUCUUUUAGGACCAAUUAAAUUAGAGAAAAGACAUAUUUCCCCCCGAACUUGUCCUCCAAAUUCACUUUAGCACUUAAACUUAACUUUUAUUUAUUUACCCCUUAACAUCUUUAAAGUGUAUUUGUUUCACCCCUCAAAGCUGAAUACCACUUUCUCAACGGAGAGUGGGUUACACACGCGCCAUGUCAGUGCCAAAUUAAUGCCACAUCAGUUCCAGGUCAAUGCCACGUAGGAAAUUAGGAUUUAAAAAAAAAAAUCCCACACAUACUAUUUUUAUGUAUUUUUGUUUUAAAAAGCAAAAAAUAUAUAUUUACUAUUUAUAUAUAUAUAUAUAUAUUAAAUAAUAUAUAUAUAUAUAUAUAAAUAAUAUAUAUAUGUANNNNNNNNNNNNNNNNNNNNNNNNNNNNNNNNNNNNNNNNNNNNNNNNNNNNNNNNNNNNNNNNNNNNNNNNNNNNNNNNNNNNNNNNNNNNNNNNNNNNNNNNNNNNNNNNNNNNNNNNNNNNNNNNNNNNNNNNNNNNNNNNNNNNNNNNNNNNNNNNNNNNNNNNNNNNNNNNNNNNNNNNNNNNNNNNNNNNNNNNNNNNNNNNNNNNNNNNNNNNNNNNNNNNNNNNNNNNNNNNNNNNNNNNNNNNNNNNNNNNNNNNNNNNNNNNNNNNNNNNNNNNNNNNNNNNNNNNNNNNNNNNNNNNNNNNNNNNNNNNNNNNNNNNNNNNNNNNNNNNNNNNNNNNNNNNNNNNNCUUCCAGCCCCCCACCCUCCCCUCUUCUUUCUUAUUCAAACACAAAAAUACUUUCAUCAAGUUAAAAUUAAUUUUUUCAAAUUGUCUUACGAACAAAAAAAUUCAAAAGUAAAAAUCAAAAGAAAUCUCAUUAAUGAUAAGUGAUUCAAAAAUAAAAUCAUCAAUAUAAUUUAAUUUUUUUCUAAAUUUUGAGGGAGUUGGAUUGAAGGUUGGGAUGGUGUUCAAUGGAGAAAGUUAUUUAAUAGUGUUUUCAUGUUUGUUCUUGAGUGGUGUUAAUGGAGGAAAGUGAAAAAAAUUAAAGGAAAGUGUUGUUCUUGGGUGGUGUUGUUAAUGGAGGAAAGUGAAAAAAAUUACAGAAAAGUGUUUGUAAAUGGAGGAAAGUAAAAAAAAUUUGAGGUUGUUAAUGGAGGUUUGGGUGUUGUUGUUGAUGAUGAUUUGAAGAAGAAAGAAGAAAAAAGUGUCCAUUUUUUAUUUUAAUUUUAAUUUUAAUUUUUUUAAAAAAAAUUUUAAUUAUAUUUUAAAUAUAAUAUUAUUGAAAUUAAUUUUUUUAAUAAAUAAACGCACCCUUUUUUUUAAAAAAAUAUCACGUCAGUUUUAGGAGUCAAACAAAUACACUUUAAAGAUGUUAAGGAGGUAAAUAAACGUAAGUUAAGUUGAAGUGUUAAAGUGAGCUUGGAGGACAAGUUCAUGUGGAAAAAGAUGUCUUUUCUCAUUAAAUUACUUUAGUAAAGGCACAUGAUCUUUUUUCCAAACAAGCACCAUUUUGAAUAGUCACGUCCUGUUUCUGAACAUGUAUUUCUUUUUUGAUGCUUGAGCUACCGCUACAUACUUCGACAAUAUGUUUAUCUAUUUUAUGUUAGAAGGAAAUAAUUCCACAUCUUCAAUACAAAAUGAUAAGGACCAAACUAUGAAAUGAAGAAACGGCGCAAAAAGGAAAACAAGAAAUUAAAGAAUGAAAAGAAAAUCGAUAUAGAUAGAUACAAAGUAGGAAAUUGAAAACAAAUAAAGGGUAUAUCAAAUCAUAAAUCCUCAAUUCGAUUACACUUAGUGAGCAUCUAACUCCUAUGUAGAACACAAGGAAAUUGAACUCCCAAGUAACCAACAUUUCAAAUCGAUUGUUCAACACAAGCUAAUCCUAACUCUCACACUCUCAAGUGUAUUCAUAAUAAUAUACAAAAACUACAAAAAAAUAAAGAAGAAAACUAUUCUUUAUAGCCAUGGGCUAUUUAUUACAAUUAUGGGCCAAAAAAUGACCCAUUUCAGCAAAUUAGAUAUCUGCCCGCAUAGAUGGGACACAUGUUGGUGCAUUUCUGGGCCUAGGUGGCUCCAAAUCAUCAAAUUAGGCACCUACUAGCGAAGACAGGUCACCUACUAGUGCAUGUCAGGGUGCAGGUGGCUUCAGAUCAUCACUCAGCUCCUUUUGAUUGCCCAAUGACCUCCCCAAUGGCUUCCUUAACUCCAAGCUACCCUCCUCACUUGGUAUUAUACUUUUGGGGAUUUGAAAAGAGUCCUCCAAACAUGUCUUUGUAUCCUUAAAAUAUUCAAGUCUUGGACCCCUCUAUGUUGGCCUUGAAUUGUAGAUAUUAAAAGAUUAUUGCCGAGUUAGCUUAUAUCAUUCUCUCCUUCCUGAAAAGGAUUCAUCCUCGAAUUUGAAUCCUGACAACACAUGAGAUAGACAAGCAACUAAUAUAUCCUCAAAGCAUGAGGGUUUGCACAAGGUUAGCAAUAAUAUUUUCAUGCCAAGAGGGCACACAUUUGGUAUACAACCAACUAUCCUUCGUUUUUAAUAAGAAUAGCUUAUUGUAUAUUGCACAAAGAUGUUGGAUAUCAUAGGCAUCACGAGCAAAGAAACUACAAAGGUCUUAAUGGAAUCAAGAACUUCAAAUGAUGAUAUCACAUUUAACUUUAUUGUUUCACCUUCUCCCAAGAAGAGUACACCACAAAAUGGUGCAAAUAACACAAAAGAUUCAUUUGUGUCAACACGUUGAAAGACCCUUAUACUUCUAGCUCUAUAAGAAACAAAUCCUAUACCAACUUGGGUAUCAUCAUAAGGAAAGAGAUAGUACAGGAAGGAAUCAAAAUUACAAGUCUCAUCCAAGUGAUAUCCAUAUGCAAGAGUACUAAUUUGCUCAAGAAAGCUAGCAGGUAACUUACCACAAGUUGGGACAACCAAAGAUGGAGCCAAGUCAUUAGGGUGCAAAUUACCAUUCAUUUCAAGAAAGCCCAAGCUCUCAAAAAAUGCAUUUUUAACUCAAGCAUGACUAUCAUCAUAGGUAAAGAGAUAUAAAAGAAAAGAGCUAAGAACGAUAUUGUCAUCUAAAGUGCUCUCAAAUAUAAGCACACAAGAAGGUCAGAAGAGAUAAUUUACAUACAUCACAUUUCUUUCCUUCAAGCAACUUCCCAAAAAAAUGUGCAUUCACUAAUGGAGUCAUGCUAUUAGAAGAAUUAGAGGAUCGAUGAGAAAUCAAUUCACUUCAAAUUCAUUAUUAUACCCAAGAAGUUAGGUUGCCUCUAUUAUCAAACUUUAGCAAAUUCCUAAAAGUCAUUCCUAUUGCUUCAACUUGUCCAACCACAUAAGUGUGACGAGGAUUAGGAAAUAAGAGUUAAGCACCAAGGACUCUUCGCAAAGCAAUAACUAGAUUGGGUAAUUGCAAAGUCCAUGCAAUUUAUGCAUAGUUAUCACAAAUCACGAAAAUGUUUGGGAGACGUUGAUACUUUCAUGAUAGGACAUAAAGUCAUACAACUUUAAGAAUUUUCCUACCAAAGGAAAAAUAUCAUCAUGACUCUAAGAAUUACUUGGAAUAAGAGGGUGUAGAUAAAUAACUUGGGAACAAGGCUUUGAGCUUGCUCUCUUGUCCUCCAUACAUGCAUCACCCGUACUUUCCCUUUCGUGCAAUGACUGGGACCAUUCUUGGUCCUCUUGAUUCUUUGUAGGAGGUAGAAAAUUCCUUCUUUCGAUCCUUGGGGUUAAAUGUUUCACCCCUUGUCAUCAAGUAUCCAUCAAUCCUUAGAAGUUGUUUUAGAAACCUUUAUUCAUCAACUUCGGAGUUCUUAGAUGGGAACGGAUCUAGGCUUUCAAUCCUAUGCUCGUAAGAGAUUUUCUUUGAAUUCUCAUAUUGGAGCAUUUGCUCAUGAUCCUAUAAAAGAGAAGUAUUGAUACAAGGUAAAAUGUUAAUACCAUGGUUAGAAUGUAACAAGGGCUUGGGAUUGAAAAGUUUCAUAGCUAAGUGUUCCUUGUUUGCCUCCUCCAAUUCUAUUCUUGGCUCAACAUUCACAACCAACUCCUCCUCUUAAGCCAAGUUUUUCUUUUCUUGCAUAAGGCUAUCUUCCAUGCUAAUGGUCUACCUUCUAUAAAGGUUAGAUGUACUUUCAUACUUUCCAAUAUUCGAUUUAUCUCCUCAAUUUGUUUCCAUAUAGACUUCAAUGUCUUACUCUUCAUGGGACUUGGACUUUCUUCGAUCAUGGUACCUAACAAGAAGAAACACUAACAAGAAAAUAAACAAGUUAGUGUUAAGGAAUCAACCUCACAAUCUCUCAAAGUACAUAACUUUGUUUGCCUCUCAAUAGGUGUCGCUAGCAUUGAAAGAUCGUUUCUACUUCAUUGAAAAACGUGGUGUCAAUUACUGCUCGUGGUCGGAAUAGAUUCUUAUUUGAAGAUGAAUAAAUGACUUAAAAUAAAAUAAUAUACUUGAAACAAGAAAUAACAACGAAACAAAAGAAAAGUGUUAAAGAAAUGGACAAAGAAAAAAAAAUAGACUCAAAGACUAAUUAAUCAACUAAGUAGAUCAAAUACUAACUGUUAAUUAAUUAGGAAUCAAGAAAUAAAUUUAAGAAUCAAGAAUUGAAACAAAGAUGAUGGAACCUGAGGAAAAUAAAAUUUGAGGCUGUUGAGAUGUGUUGGGGUGAGAUGUUGGCGCAGGUCAUGACAUGUCAUCGCAGAUGGGGGUCGCAUGUUACAAAAUAGAUUCUGAAAAAUUGACUUGCAUUAGGUCACCUGCUGGCAUAGAUGCCCACUAGAGAGCGCAGGUGUCCCGGGCAGACACCUGAAGCCUCCGUUUUCAAGUCUUUUGUGGACCCUCUUGUACUCUCUUUCCUAGUACCUUUCCUUUUUAGAUUAUUUCUUUGAUAUUAACACUUUCUUUUACUUUUCUGGGGCUCUUUUUGGGAUCUAACAACAACUUUUAUUGAAUCUUUUUCUUGAAGAUGUGAAUUUCUUCAAGAACACCAAGAACUCAAAAUUUUCAAACUAACUCAUUUUUGCUCUGAAUUGCAUGAAAUUUCAGAUUUAUGUUUCCUUCAACGUGGAGAAAUUUCACACUCAAAUAUUCAAAAUUUGUAAAUCCAUUUGUAAUUUUCUUCAACUUCAAAGCUCAAAAAUGGUGGAUCUUCCAAAACCUCUUCAAAUAACAUCAAAUUUCAGAUAUAAGGUCCUUUUAUUAUGAGAAUUACUUUCUAGUAACCCUUAUCCUUCAAUUUCAACCCAAAUUUGAUAAAUCUAAGAACCCACUUCAUUUUUUUCUCAAUGUUCAAGAACUCAACAAUGAAUUUCUCCAAACAUACUCAAAUCAAGUCCAAAAUUCAGAUUCCGACUCAAAUAACCCCAGAGAAAACUAAUCUAGUGUUGAAACUUCAAGAAAAACUCAAAAAUCUUUUUGGGAAUUUUAACUAAAAGCACUCUUCUUCUUUUUCUUUUCUUUUCUGUUGACUUUCUAAGGUAACAAUAAUCCCAAGAUUAGAAUCGUGGGAACGAAGAGUAUAUCAAAUCCUAAAUUCUCAAUCUAAUUAAUUCUAGUUAGCACCUAACUCCUUCGUAGAUCAUAAGAAAAUUCAACUCCUAGGUAACCAACGUUUCAACAAGAUUGUUCAACACAAGAUAAUUCUAACUCUCACACUCUCAAGUGUAUUCAUAUAUGCAAAAAUUAAAAAAAAUGAGGAAGGCAACUACUAUUUAUAGGCAUGAGCUAUUUAUUAUAAUUAUUGGCCCAAAAAUAACUCAUUUCAAUAAAUUGGACAUUCAUCCACGCAGAUGAGGCAUCUGUUGGCGAAUGUCAGGGCGCAGGUGGCUCCAGAUCAUCAAAUUGGACCCCUAGUGGCACAUGUCAGGGCGUAGGUGGCUCUAGAUCAUCAAUUAGCUCCUCUUGAUUGCCCAAUGACUUCCUUCACUCCAAGCUACUCUCCACACAUGCUAUUGUACUUUUGGGGACUUGAAAAGGGUCCUCCAAAUACGUCCUUGCAUCUUUGAAAUGAUCAUGACUUGAAUUCCUUUGUGUCGAUCUUGAAUUGUACGUAUUAAAAGAUUAUUGCCGACUUAGCUUGUAUCAAAUACAGUAUGAAAUUAAAUUUAAUUAUUAAUAAUACAUUAAUUUUUGUAAGCCUCGAAAUAAUUCUUUGUUUUUUCUAUAUUUCUAUAAACAACCUUUCUUUACCUCCUUCAUUCACUUUUACUUUUUACUUUUAUUUGUUACUGUUGACCUAUUAAGAAAAGACAAUUAUUUAUUUUUAUGUUUAUCGUUAAUAUUAAUUCUUCAAAUCAUUUUUAAAAUGCAACACUAGAUAUCAGUUAAUUAAUAAAAGUAUUAUCGUAAAAUAGUCAUAACAAUUAUUAUUUUA